Molecule: small RNA, 495 nt
Filed under: Pongo abelii (Sumatran orangutan)
Lineage: Eukaryota; Metazoa; Chordata; Mammalia; Primates; Hominidae
Description: processed transcript
Source: RNAcentral
AAACCUCUGUGCAUGGAAAAUAAGCCCAGAGCUAAACGUUCCCUAAGUGAGUGGCCUUUGACAGCGGUGCUGGGCAGCCCAGUGGGUGCAGGGACAUCACAGAUGGAGGAAGGGCCAGGCUUCCCAGACAGCCUCUGCCAGUCCAGGCAGGGGCUCCAGGGUGGCUGCGGGAAGGCAGCUUAGGCGGUGCCCAGCCCAAGGACUUGCUGUGCUCAGAUCCUCCAUUCAGGAGAGCUACAGACAUGGGGGUGCUGGUGAGCAGGAGCUGAGACCGUCUGGGGUGGGACCGACCAAGAGUUUGAGGUGUCCAGGGGGCGACGUGAAGAUGACCUAUCGCAGAGGGUCCCUUCUCAUUCACGCCCUGAAGUCUGCACAGGGGCAGGGGCUACCGUGCUGCAUUUCAGUUUGGCCUCUGUUGUAUCAGCCAGAGGCCAGCAGAACUCUAUGGUCACCCCCCCGUGUCUCGGACAAUUUGCCACCCCCAGCGGCAGCCCA